AUCAUAAAAGGUGGCUUUCAGCUACCACUUACAGAUGGACCCGCGGCGCAUUAGCUAGUUGGUGAGGUAAACGGCUCACCAAGGCGACGAUGCGUAGCCGACCUGAGAGGGUGAUCGGCCACACUGGGACUGAGACACGGCCCAGACUCCUACGGGAGGCAGCAGUAGGGAAUCUUCCGCAAUGGACGAAAGUCUGACGGAGCAACGCCGCGUGAGUGAUGAAGGUUUUCGGAUCGUAAAACUCUGUUGUUAGGGAAGAACAAGUACCGUUCGAAUAGGGCGGCACCUUGACGGUACCUAACCAGAAAGCCACGGCUAACUACGUGCCAGCAGCCGCGGUAAUACGUAGGUGGCAAGCGUUGUCCGGAAUUAUUGGGCGUAAAGCGCGCGCAGGCGGUUUCUUAAGUCUGAUGUGAAAGCCCCCGGCUCAACCGGGGAGGGUCAUUGGAAACUGGGGAACUUGAGUGCAGAAGAGGAGAGUGGAAUUCCACGUGUAGCGGUGAAAUGCGUAGAGAUGUGGAGGAACACCAGUGGCGAAGGCGACUCUCUGGUCU
This 554-nucleotide ribosomal RNA is filed under the name uncultured Bacilli bacterium. Its description in RNAcentral is "bacterial SSU rRNA". It matches the Rfam family "Bacterial small subunit ribosomal RNA", at positions 197 to 735 of the family's 1533-position model. Lineage: Bacteria; Bacillati; Bacillota; Bacilli. The record is from RNAcentral.